UCGUAAGCGCGCGGUUCAUUAACAUCCACGUCGGAUAGACGCGCGGUUUCAGAAGCAGGGGCUCCUUUUUAAGCACACGCAGUUCCUUUGUUUCAUGAAUUGCGGCAUUCUUGGAUCAGUUCAUUGUUUCUUCCUCCUGAAAUGGAUCCAGAGGAGCAGGAUGUCAUUAAGUUCAUCUUAUACCUCAUGCUCUUGGAAGUUGAAAUGAGAAAGAAGAGAGAGAAAACAAGGGAGAUGGAAGAGCAGCUAAGGGCAGAUCGAGCUGCACUGGAAGCUAUGGAAAAUGAAUGUUUGAUGCUUAUGAGUGAGAGGGAUGACAAGAUCACAGAGAAAAAAACUGUGGACAAAUUGGUCGCUGAUUUUCUUCAAGCAGAUGCUAACGGCGAUUUUGAAGCGCAGAAAGCUAUGGAGAACCAGAUUGUAGCUUUGAUCAGCCGUAACGCCGGCAACACGGGACCAUCUGGAGGCGGCAGUUAGGAUGAGUGAGGCGGGUGAGGGCGAGUGAUAGCUACCAGAAUCGGCGGUGACUACGGCAGGGGUUACGUUAAAUAAGGGUGAUGCGGGCUUUUACCAUUAACAUGAAAAAUAAAAGACCGAGCUGGUGGUGAAAGCAAAAUGGGAUUUUAGAGUAACAAUUACAGUAUAUGUGUACUUUGUAAAAAAGAGAUUGGUUGUAGCUAAAGUGGACUAAUGUUGGAUUGGUUGUAAGUGAUUAAUGGGUUUUGAAUUUUGAUGCGGGAUGUUUAAAACAUGGGUUUAGUAUUAAAUACAGGAAUUAUAUUCAAAAUUAGAAUAUAUAUAGCUAAUUGAUCCCAUAAUUGCUUUAA
Long non-coding RNA from Gossypium raimondii (Peruvian cotton), 827 nucleotides. RefSeq lists it as uncharacterized. NCBI's taxonomy places the organism in Eukaryota, Viridiplantae, Streptophyta, Magnoliopsida, Malvales, Malvaceae. The transcript has 3 exons. The record is from RefSeq and is a predicted model, not a curated record.